UUAUUACUCCCUCCGUCCGGAAAUACGUGUCCUAUAAAUGAAUAAAAUAGAUGUAUCUAUAACUAAAAUAAGUCUAGAUACAUCCCAUUCUAGGACAAGUAUUUCCGGACGGAGGGAGUAUUAU
Molecule: non-coding RNA, 124 nt
Organism: Hordeum vulgare subsp. vulgare (domesticated barley)
Lineage: Eukaryota; Viridiplantae; Streptophyta; Magnoliopsida; Poales; Poaceae
Source: Rfam